CCGUGCAUUUGAAACUGUUGUUCUUGAGUGUCGGAGAGGUAAGUGGAAUUCCUAGUGUAGCGGUGAAAUGCGUAGAUAUUAGGAGGAACACCAGUGGCGAAGGCGACUUACUGGACGAUAACUGACGCUGAGGCGCGAAAGCGUGGAUUUAAAACAGGAUUAGAUACCCUGGUAGUCCACGCCCUAAACGAUGAAUACUAGGUGUGGGGGGACUGACCCCCUCCGUGCCGCAUGAAAUCCACCACGUCUUCCUCCUGGUUAGUACCGGCGCUCGGUUGAAACUGCUCUGAAUUGACGGCUACCCGCACAGGUUGCGCUCUAUGGCGUUUUUUCCAAGCAUCUCAAGAACCUUACUGAGGAUUGACAUGCACCUCAUGUAUCAAAUAUGCCUUAGGGGCACCUCAGGGAUAGUUGCUUCGGGUGGUGGAUGGUUGACCCCGGCUCGGGUCGUGACGUGGUGUCUUAUUUCCCCCCACGAGCCCCCGCUUGUGUGGGAGCCGCUCCACUAGAUCUCUCUAUAGACACUGCGGGCGGACUCCCCAGAGGAGAGAGGUAAUGUGUUAAAUGCAUCACGCCCUUUAUCCCCCCCCCUCCACACUAAAAAUAUUCGUUUUUGGCGGGGGGGAAGCACGGUCUCAAGAUGUGUUUGCUCCCUACACAGUCUCUCAUUUCAGACCGUGGGCUGCCACCCCG
Molecule: ribosomal RNA, 693 nt
Filed under: uncultured bacterium
Lineage: Bacteria
Description: partial 16S ribosomal RNA
Rfam family: Bacterial small subunit ribosomal RNA
Source: RNAcentral